RNAcentral lists this unclassified non-coding RNA (253 nucleotides) under Hevea brasiliensis (rubber tree). The record is from RNAcentral. Lineage: Eukaryota; Viridiplantae; Streptophyta; Magnoliopsida; Malpighiales; Euphorbiaceae.
GAUGCACUAGAUGAAGGUGUCGAGUUCAAGUCUAAAUCAUACGUCGCGUGUGCGUUGAUUUGGCACGGAUGUGGUACUGAACAUACGCUGCUAGGUGGGCUUGCAUAUAAAGCUAUUGUUGAGACCGCCAUGGCUCAACCAGAUUUUGGUUGAACUUUAAAUUUCAAACCCAAAAGAAACCCAAAUGAAGCAAUAUGCUCACUUAAAUCAAAUUUUAACAAAAACCCAACAAUUUUCUCCAAAAACCCACAAA